RNAcentral lists this ribosomal RNA (402 nucleotides) under Bacteroidota bacterium. RNAcentral's name for it is "Bacteroidetes bacterium partial 16S ribosomal RNA". It matches the Rfam family "Bacterial small subunit ribosomal RNA", at positions 355 to 776 of the family's 1533-position model. The record is from RNAcentral. Lineage: Bacteria; Pseudomonadati; Bacteroidota.
UGGGGAAUAUUGCACAAUGGGGGAAACCCUGAUGCAGCGACGCCGCGUGAUUUAGAAGGCCUUCGGGUUGUAAAAAUCUUUUCUAUGGGAAGAAAAUGACAGUACCAUAGGAAUAAGGACCGGCUAAUUACGUGCCAGCAGCCGCGGUAAUACGUAAGGUCCGAGCGUUGUCCGGAAUCAUUGGGCGUAGAGGGUACGUAGGCGGGUAAGCAAGUUAGAAGUGAAAUCCUGUAGCUCAACUACAGUAAGCUUUUAAAACUGCUCAUCUUGAGAUAUGGAAGGGAAAGUGGAAUUCCUAGUGUAGCGGUGAAAUGCGCAGAUAUUAGGAGGAAUACCGGUGGCGAAGGCGACUUUCUGGCCAUAAUCUGACGCUGAGGUACGAAAGCGUGGGUAGCAAACAGG